AACGCGAAGAACCUUACCUACCCUUGACAUGCCUGGAACCCUGCAGAGAUGUGGGGGUGCUCGAAAGAGAGCCAGGACACAGGUGCUGCAUGGCCGUCGUCAGCUCGUGUCGUGAGAUGUUGGGUUAAGUCCCGCAACGAGCGCAACCCUUGCCAUUAGUUGCUACGAAAGGGCACUCUAAUGGGACUGCCGGUGACAAACCGGAGGAAGGUGGGGAUGACAUCAGGUCCUCAUGGCCCUUAUGGGUAGGGCUACACACGUCAUACAAUGGCCGGUACAGAGGGCUGCCAACCCGCGAGGGGGAGCCAAUCCCAGAAAACCGGUCGUAGUCCGGAUUGCAGUCUGCAACUCGACUGCAUGAAGUCGGAAUCGCUAGUAAUCGCGAUCAGAA
RNAcentral lists this ribosomal RNA (391 nucleotides) under uncultured Caldimonas sp. RNAcentral describes it as "bacterial SSU rRNA". It matches the Rfam family "Bacterial small subunit ribosomal RNA", at positions 958 to 1354 of the family's 1533-position model. The record is from RNAcentral. Lineage: Bacteria; Pseudomonadati; Pseudomonadota; Betaproteobacteria; Burkholderiales; Sphaerotilaceae.